Molecule: unclassified non-coding RNA, 220 nt
Filed under: uncultured Tomentella
Lineage: Eukaryota; Fungi; Basidiomycota; Agaricomycetes; Thelephorales; Thelephoraceae
Description: sequence contains ITS2
Source: RNAcentral
ACACCUCAACUCUCAUGGCUUGCCCAUGAUGAGCUUGGACUAUGGGGGUCUUGCUGGCCUGCGGUCGGCUCCUCUCAAAUAAAUCAGCUUGCCAGUGUUUGGUGGCGUCACGGGUGUGAUAACUAUCUACGCUUGUGGUUUUCCGCCAGGUAACCUUCAGCAGCUGGAGGUUCACUGGAGCUCAUAGAUGUCUCUCCUCAGUGAAGAUGGCCCUUUGAAU